UGCUGGGACAGACAGACAGGAGAACAGCACCAGAUCUGCAAGAGGGACAAUGACUUAGCCACAUCGAUGCCUGUAGUGCAGCACUAAAUGUUUGACACCUUUCCUCAGUCCCAGCUGCAGGAGAUAGAUGGAAAAACUGAGGCACACAGACACCUUCCUAUCCAAGACCGCACAGGAAAUCUGUGGCAAGACCAGCUCCUGAUCACAGGAGUCUGCAUAUGUAGGGGUUUGGGGAGGACAACUGAGCUCCCUUGCACUCAGAUGCCUGUGGCAAGAACCGAAGAGCACACCAGCAAAAGGUUACUGGGUUUUUUUUCCCUGAACUGAUAUCCACAUUACUUCCUCCUUACAUCCUCUAAGCUGUAAACUAAAUUGAACAUUAUUCUGGAUCCCAGGCUUUGGGCUAUAAAUGCAGUUGCUUGGAGUAAAAUCAACCACCCUGAAGAAAGCAACCUAGGUGAAGCAACGCUUGGGUAUUGUGACAGAAGUGAUUUGCGUGGGAAUGAACCCAGAGGAAAAUCGGUUGCUCUGCAGCUGGGAAUCUCCCUGAGCCUUUUGCAAGCCUCACAACAGAUCACCACAUGUGCACAGACGGUCACUCCUACAAACUACUCUCACUCUUCAUUCCCAGGUGCUUGAUCACAAACGCUUUGGACUGCUUUUGGUGACUCCAGUCCUUUCCUCCACACCUUUCAUUUUUGAAGGCUCUUUCCUAAUUUGCUGUUUGCUUUCAAAAAACCCAAAAACAAACAAAAAACCCCAAACAACAUCCCAAGUGAAUUUCUCUGCACAUUCCUCAGUUAAAAAGAAUUACUUGGAUGUUGUCACCCAGUUCCCCUGUAUUACAAUGAGUCACAUUAAAUGGGAUUACUGGAGGAGGAGCUGCAGAACUUCUCUGGGUUUACACAUACCUUGACGGUCCUCAGCAAGGGGACCACCCUCUGCAGGGAAGAAAGUUGAGCUUUUUGUUAAAAAUUGCACCAGACACCAUAUUUCAGUGUUGUCCUUCAUGUAAGCUUUCAGCCUGUGAGGAACAAGCUGGGAAGCAAAAAGAAGUCACAGGGGACUUGGUGCAGCACACCUUAGGAUGGAUGCGCUCCACAGCACAUCCAGCUGACUGCACCUCUCGCUUGCAGUGUGAAGCACCAGCAGAAAGUAUUGUGGAGAGGCUUCCAGGAAGGAAGCAAACAAGAGAAGAAUCAUGCUGUGAUGGCUUCUUCUAGCUGAGACAUCUUACUAAAGCCAAAACACAUUGGCAGUGUUAAUGCUGCUUAGGUUAAAUAUCUCAUCUUCUUCAGACAGCCCUGGGGGACUGAAACGCAGUCUGAAAUGAAAAAAGUUUCCCAAAGGUGAGUUCAGCAUGUGCCAGGAUGGAGAGCGAACCAAUAUUUUCUCUAAGGAAUCUUCCACCAUCUGCAGCAUCCAACAACUGGAAAAAAUUCUCCCAACAACUGGGUUGCAUCUGCAGUUUCUUAACUGUGUUCAGUUUUGCAUGAGACUGAGAAGUCAUCCUUUCAUGAUAGUAUUCUGUGUGGUUAUGGACUAGCUAACCUGGAAAGUGCUACCAAGUCCCCCCUAUUUCAAAUACUACAUGCAGAAUGAGACACACCUUUGCUAAAAUAGUGGAAAUAAGCCAUGAGUCGAAAAAGUGGUUUGGAUAGUAGAGUUAUGAAAAUUUCACUGUGGGGAAGAGAAGAACCGUGUUUUUCACCUCGAACUGAGGAUUCCAUGAGUCUAAUAUUUCUUUUUUUUUUUCCCUGUUUAAUUUAUGUCCAUGUAUUGCAGAGUCUGGAUCUCUUUUAAAUGCCUGGUUUGACACUGCAGCCUCUUUCACCCCCAGCACAAGUUUCCUAUUUCCCUGUCAGAGUCCAGAUGUCCUGGGGCCCUUGCAGAGCUCCUUGAUGAUACAUGUAUUUGGGACAACCCUGUCCCUGCACAAAAAGUUCAAAAAACUGAAGACAACACAUGUAUUACUCAGAAUAUCCUGUUAAUACAGGCAAAUGGUGGGGGCAGGAAGACUCCUCCCUGCUCCCUCUGACAUUGAUGCUGCAGUGGGAGGGGUACUAGCAAGACUCUGGGUUUGUCUGGAGUCCACUCUGGGGCUCCUCAGCCCAUCCUACAGACUCUAAGGCUACUUUCAGACUGCUGAGGUGUGAAACACUGAUAUCAGUGUAACAUCAGAGCAAAUAAAGCUGUAUUUCAUCAAUUUAGAGUAACAAAAGUGAAGAACUUCUCACUCCACUCAUCUCUUGCAUUCAUCACCGUGAAAUGGAAUAAUGCGUACAGAGUCGUGCAACAAGCUGUCACAUCAGCUUCGAAAGCAAUGGCCCACACAAGCAAAUUUCCCUACUGUACAGUCUUGUUAUUUAAGAUUAUUUAAUCAAAGGUGGCAGAAAGCAAGAGGUGGUUGUUGUUUGUUAGCUCUUUUUUCCCAAAGAAAGCAAUUCAGCCAUUUCCAGAAUUGGCCUGAGUGUUGACAGCAGAGCCUACCCACAGAUACAGGGUAUAAAUUGCUUAAUUAUGUGUGAAGAUUAUGGGAGCUAUGUCAAGCCUGAGUCACCAGCAGUUAUUUGAAAAGGUAAAACAAAAAUGAUUAGCAGAUUCUUUUGGAAAGUGUCUAUUGUAGUUUUCCUUCAUGUGCAUGAGGGUGCUGCUGUGUCUCCUGGCAGUACUGUGGCCACUUUCACUGGAGUGCAGGGGCAGGGCCCAAACAAAACUCAGGGCUCGGACAUUGCAAUAUUAACAGCUUUCCAAGGGAUGAUGCAAA
Molecule: RNA transcript, 2767 nt
Organism: Hirundo rustica (Barn swallow)
Lineage: Eukaryota; Metazoa; Chordata; Aves; Passeriformes; Hirundinidae
Exons: 4
Source: RefSeq, a predicted model, not a curated record